AAUAAACUAAAUAAAAUUACAUUUAAAUCCACCUUCAAUAAAAUUUUUCAAUUUCAUAUUCAUUUAAAUAAAUUUAUUGUAAUCCAUUAUAUUCUUAAUUAUAAUCUACAUCUUGAUCUGAAUUAAUUUUUAUUUUAAUUUUUAAAUAUUAUAAAUUAAUUAAAAAUAUUUUUUUAACAACGAUAUAUAAAAUUUUAUAAAUUAAGUAAAUUUAUUCGUGGAUUAUCAAUUAUUAAACAGAUUCCUCUAAAUGAACUAAAAUACCGCCAUAUUAUUUAAGUUUCAAUAAAUAAUUAUCUACUAUUUUAGUAUUAUAAUUUAAAUUUUUAAUAAUAGGGUAUCUAAU
Molecule: ribosomal RNA, 346 nt
Filed under: Danaus chrysippus chrysippus
Lineage: Eukaryota; Metazoa; Arthropoda; Insecta; Lepidoptera; Nymphalidae
Description: partial 12S ribosomal RNA
Source: RNAcentral